UACGGCGAGUGAGCGGGAAGAGCUCAAAUUUGAAAUCUGGCAGUCUUCGAUUGUCCGAGUUGUAAUCUAUAGAGGCGUUUUCCGUGCCGGACCGUGUCCAAGUCUCCUGGAAAGGAGUAUCAAAGAGGGUGAUAAUCCCGUACUUAACACGACCACCGGUGCUCUGUGAUACGUCUUCUACGAGUCGAGUUGUUUGGGAAUGCAGCUCAAAAUGGGUGGUGAAUUCCAUCUAAAGCUAAAUAUUGGCGAGAGACCGAUAGCGAACAAGUACCGUGAGGGAAAGAUGAAAAGCACUUUGGAAAGAGAGUUAAACAGUACGUGAAAUUGUUGAAAGGGAAACGAUUGAAGUCAGUCGUGUUCUUUGGAUUCAGCCAGUUCUGCUGGUCUACUUCCUUUGAACGGGUCAACAUCAGUUUUGUCCGGUGGAUAAAGGCAGUAGGAAUGUAGCUUCUCCGGAAGUGUUAUAGCCUAUUGUCACAUACACUGGGUGAGACUGAGGACUGCAGCUCGCCUUUAUGGCCGACCUUCGGGUACGUUCGAGCUUAGGAUGUUGACAUAAUGGCUUUAAACGACCCGUCUUG
RNAcentral lists this ribosomal RNA (581 nucleotides) under Trichosporon coremiiforme. RNAcentral's name for it is "eukaryotic LSU rRNA". It matches the Rfam family "Eukaryotic large subunit ribosomal RNA", at positions 85 to 656 of the family's 3401-position model. Lineage: Eukaryota; Fungi; Basidiomycota; Tremellomycetes; Trichosporonales; Trichosporonaceae. The record is from RNAcentral.